AUGCGAUGCAGGAUAACCGCAAAUAGACGUACAACUUUACUGCAUUUAAAAUCUGCUGAAUCGAUUCACAAAUCUUUUUAUUUGUGCACCUCGAAUGAAAACUGUAGCCGUUUGGUGAUUAAAACCAGCGCACACACCUCCAAAUCGCGCGGCUGCCCGGUGCCUGGAUGGAGACACCAGCUCCUUGACAAUCUGCAGAACCUGCAUGCUUAUCCAGUGGGAGGAGCCAUGAGGCUCCCCUCAGCCUCAUCGCUCAUCAGCUGGCCCGCAGCAUGACUCCUCCAGGACGCUGGUUUCCAGUGAAAUCAAGAUUCUGCUCCUGCUUCCUGCUUGUUGGGCGUCUUCAGUAUUUCCUCCACUAACCGGCUGUCAUGCUGCUUCACCUGCGUUGAGCGGCGCCUCGGGGCGACAGGAAGCAGCAGCGCGGCAAUGCCCUCUCCGCUGCCGGCCGCCACGGCGCAGCGCCCUCGUCAUGCCGUGUGCGAUCCGGAGCGGAGCCGUCCUCCGCCGGCUUGUUUCCGUCCCCGGCUGGAUGCUGCAGAUCAAAAGGUCCUGAGUGGUGGAACUUCCCACUGCAGCUGGCUCCUUGAUCCGCUCUUCACAUCCUGCAGAUCCUAAUUAACGAGCCUCCAGCUCUUCCCUCCUCUCCUCUCAUCGCGUUCUGCUGUGGAGCGGAAACAUGAGCAGAAUGCAGACGGCUGAGCGAGCACAGAUGAUUUGUACCACCCAGACGAUGACAUGAACAUCAGCGGUACCAAGAAUCCAGAUCCGCGUUGCAUUCAGCCAGAACUGAAACCUCUUUCAGGACCAACUCGCUCUGACUCUAAUAAUUACAACACCAGCUUCAGGUCUACAAGCCGCAGCUUGUCCAACGUGUCCACACUGAGGACGGAUGGAUCAAACUUUCUGAGGACAGCAGAUAAAAACACGGCCGAGGCGCUUGGCUCACCAUGGCAACCAAAUACAGAGCGACCAUGAACGGCUUGAGGCGAGGAAACGCGUCUCUGUUUGUGUGAAGGAAACAAGCUGCAGCUCCAAUCUGAGGUGUUUUUAUUAUCUGUAGCAAAGUUUCAUCUUUUAUUCAAACAUCUGCAGCUAAAUUACCUUCAGUUUAGAGUCCCUGAAUCUGCAGCUUUUAUCAGCUGUAAUAAAAGCUCAACUUGAUCCUUUUAUGGCCUGAUAACACCUUUGUUCCCAUCAGUCCACAGAAACCGAGACCAACACUGAAGGUCUGCUGGAGAUUUAGCAAAUUCAGGCCACAGAAAGCCUCCAAACAUUCAGCGUUUGGAGGCUUCUUUCACUCUUCCUUUCUUUAAAAACUGCAUCAGAUGUAGAGAAAAUUCAAACACUCAACAGAUUCUGACGGAAAUAAUCCUGAAUCCAAACGUUUCCAGUUUAAAAGCUUCUAAAUUCCCAAAGUUAGGAUGAUGGAUCAACAAGUGGAGAAUAGAA
Long non-coding RNA from Poecilia latipinna (sailfin molly), 1452 nucleotides. RefSeq lists it as uncharacterized. The record is from RefSeq and is a predicted model, not a curated record. NCBI's taxonomy places the organism in Eukaryota, Metazoa, Chordata, Actinopteri, Cyprinodontiformes, Poeciliidae. The transcript is spliced from 3 exons.